CUCAACCCAGGCUGUGCUGUCAAGGAUCUGGGGUCGGAUGUAGUGCCAAGGCCGGGGGCACAGGAUCUGCAGUCAUCAGUCACCCCUGAGAGCUCUAUCGCUGCAUCUGUGUGGUGCUUUCAGCUCGGAGUUCUCUCUGCUGCUUCCUCUCCAGGCGUGGGACACAGGGGUCUCUGGAGCACACCUGUACUCUCCCAGUGUUGAUGGCCUGUUUUAACCAAGCCUUGAAGAUGUUCACUCGGCCACCAGCUCCCUGCUGGAUCAGCUUGUUGGUGCCGGAGCCGGGGAGGUGGUCCAGGGAGAAGGUUUCAGAGAUGCCUCCAGAGAAUAAAGCCACCAUGCUGCAGACCAGCGUUAUUCCUAUCCAAUGCCAAGGAGCGAUUUCUUAUUACCUGGCGUUUGAACUUUCUGGAAAGAUGAAUGUUCACAUUCCCUAGUUGUCUGAUCAUGAUGAGCUAGAGCUUAGAUUUCUAACCAGGUGGUCUCUUGGGAUGGGAAGGAUUCCACCAAACUGGGUUCUCACUGGGUCUGAGUAAAACUAGUCUCGGGAGUGGAAGUGUUGACAGCUGGAUUCCUCAUCCAGCAUCCCGGUGACACCAGCCUCUGCUCAACUGCCUCCACGUGAUGGGAAACUUAUUACUUCCAGGACAGUCCAUUUUGGCUAGAGAUCAUUUUGACUACAAGCCUUUUUUCCCUAAUAAAAGCUAUCUUUAAACCAAAUA
This is a long non-coding RNA of Globicephala melas (long-finned pilot whale), 722 nucleotides long. RefSeq lists it as uncharacterized. NCBI's taxonomy places the organism in Eukaryota, Metazoa, Chordata, Mammalia, Artiodactyla, Delphinidae. The record is from RefSeq and is a predicted model, not a curated record.